RNAcentral lists this ribosomal RNA (429 nucleotides) under uncultured bacterium. Its description in RNAcentral is "partial 16S ribosomal RNA". It matches the Rfam family "Bacterial small subunit ribosomal RNA", at positions 354 to 796 of the family's 1533-position model. The record is from RNAcentral.
GUGGGGAAUAUUCACAAUGGGCGCAAGCCUGAUGCAGCAACGCCGCGUGAGGGACGACGGCCUUCGGGUUGUAAACCUCUUUUAGCAGGGAAGAAGCGAAAGUGACGGUACCUACAGAAAAAGCACCGGCUAACUACGUGCCAGCAGCCGCGGUAAUACGUAGGGUGCAAGCGUUGUCCGGAAUUAUUGGGCGUAAAGAGCUCGUAGGCGGUUUGUCGCGUCUGCUGUGAAAACCCGAGGCUCAACCUCGGGCCUGCAGGGGGUACGGGCAGACUAGAGUGCGGUAGGGGAGAUUGGAAUUCCUGGUGUAGCGGUGGAAUGCGUAGAUAUCAGGAGGAACACCGAUGGCGAAGGCAGAUCUCUGGGCCGUAACUGACGCUGAGGAGCGAAAGCGUGGGGAGCGAACAGGAUUAGAAACCCGAGUAGUCC